GAUCCGUUAGCUCAGUUGGUAGAGCAUUUGACUUUUAAUCAAAGGGUCUGGAGUUCGAAUCUCCAACGGGUCACCA
This 76-nucleotide transfer RNA is filed under the name Clostridium sp. RNAcentral describes it as "tRNA-Lys". It matches the Rfam family "tRNA". Rfam says of the family: Transfer RNA (tRNA) molecules are approximately 80 nucleotides in length. Their secondary structure includes four short double-helical elements and three loops (D, anti-codon, and T loops). Further hydrogen bonds mediate the characteristic L-shaped molecular structure. tRNAs have two regions of fundamental functional importance: the anti-codon, which is responsible for specific mRNA codon recognition, and the 3' end, to which the tRNAs corresponding amino acid is attached (by aminoacyl-tRNA synthetases). tRNAs cope with the degeneracy of the genetic code in two manners: having more than one tRNA (with a specific anti-codon) for a particular amino acid; and 'wobble' base-pairing, i.e. permitting non-standard base-pairing at the 3rd anti-codon position. The record is from RNAcentral. Lineage: Bacteria; Bacillati; Bacillota; Clostridia; Eubacteriales; Clostridiaceae. RNAcentral also lists the same sequence under 5 other names.